ACUCCUGCGGGAGGCAGCAGUGGGGAAUAUUGGACAAUGGGCGCAAGCCUGAUCCAGCCAUGCCGCGUGAGUGAUGAAGGCCCUAGGGUUGUAAAGCUCUUUCACCGGUGAAGAUAAUGACGGUAACCGGAGAAGAAGCCCCGGCUAACUUCGUGCCAGCAGCCGCGGUAAUACGAAGGGGGCUAGCGUUGUUCGGAUUUACUGGGCGUAAAGCGCACGUAGGCGGACUAUUAAGUCAGGGGUGAAAUCCCGGGGCUCAACCCCGGAACUGCCUUUGAUACUGGUAGUCUUGAGUUCGAGAGAGGUGAGUGGAAUUCCGAGUGUAGAGGUGAAAUUCGUAGAUAUUCGGAGGAACACCAGUGGCGAAGGCGGCUCACUGGCUCGAUACUGACGCUGAGGUGCGAAAGCGUGGGGAGCAAACAGGAUUAGAUACUCUGGUAGUCCCA
Molecule: ribosomal RNA, 446 nt
Filed under: uncultured organism
Description: partial 16S ribosomal RNA
Rfam family: Bacterial small subunit ribosomal RNA
Source: RNAcentral